RNAcentral lists this ribosomal RNA (253 nucleotides) under uncultured bacterium. RNAcentral describes it as "partial 16S ribosomal RNA". It matches the Rfam family "Bacterial small subunit ribosomal RNA", at positions 524 to 776 of the family's 1533-position model. The record is from RNAcentral.
GACGUAGGGCGCGAGCGUUGUCCGGAUUUAUUGGGCGUAAAGAGCUCGUAGGCGGCUUGUCGCGUCGUCCGUGAAAACCUGGGGCUCAACUCCAGGCUUGCGGUCGAUACGGGCAGGCUAGAGUUCGGUAGGGGAGACUGGAAUUCCUGGUGUAGCGGUGAAAUGCGCAGAUAUCAGGAAGAACACCCGUGGCGAAAGCGGCUCUCUGGAACGGUACUGACGCUGAGACGCGAAAGCGUGGGGAGCGAACAGG